UAGUCGGACCUCGAUUCCACAGGAAGUGGGGGCGCCGCAGUUUUGGGGAGGAGCCCGGGGUUGCUAUGGAGUUCCCUGAGACCUUGGAGCACUUUCCGGGUCCGUGUUGAAGUGCAAAAGUAAAUGGAGCGUUUCUGGAGACGAGCUAAGCUCAAGUUGACGAGGGAAAGAGGACUGGGAGCUCUCGAUGGAGCAGGGUCUGCCGUUGGCGCGCAAGCUUCCUCCUGUGCACAGCACAACGUGGGCUGUGCCUUAGGUUCAUUCUCACACUUUGUAUUCGGGGUCAGCAGACUUGUUGUGCAGUGUUCUUUGUUCCCCCGUCUUGGGAUGUCAGAUUGGGAAGAAAGCAUCUUUUGAAACUGAUUUCCAAAUUGCUCAGGAUCUUUCUGCCAAGAGCUUAAAAGUAGUGGGGUGAGCAGGGAAAGGCAUUUCCUCUCCAAAGACUGAAUCUUGAAAGUCCAUCCUUGCAUCAGCCACAGGAAGGCUCUCUCCAGUCCCACCACACCUGACUUUAGCAGCUUUUCUUUAACAGGGGCUUAGGCCAGAUUGAGGACAUCAUUUGAAUGCAUUAUCUGGAGAAGCUUGCUUUCUCCAUGAGUCAUAGAAGCUGUUGCAGGAUAAACUUGAAGGAGUUGGGGGACAAUAUGUUGGAUAAACUUUGCUGUGUUACGUGCUUUGAAGAUCAUCCCUGAGCAAGAGCAGCAGAAUGAAUUAGCAGGUACACAGCGAAUCUGCGAGUUAGCAGAAACCUGAAGGAAGCAAGAAUGAAAACCAUGAAGAUAUUUUGGGAAGAGUGUUCCAGGCAAAGAGAAGAGCAAGUGCAAAGGCUGGCCAGUCUCCAUCCUGCCCCCUGAAGCAUACAGUCUGAUUUUUUUCUACCGUGGCUUAAUUUCACCUGUUCUAAAACUUCAUCUGAAUGGAAUCAUAGCGUGAGCAUGUGUUCUUUUGAGAGUCUAUCCAAGUAAGUUGCCAAAUUAUAUUAUUAGUUUGUAGGAAGUCUUUAUAUAUUCUGCAUACAAGAAGGUAAGGACUUUCAAUUUUAUUGCUUUCUUAAUGUGAAGGGAAGCCAUGGGAAGGUUUUGAGCACGGAAUAAUGCAAAACCAGGGGAAUCGUUCUAUGAUUUUGCAUUGCACAACUUCAGGGGCUGCCAUUCCCACUUGUAGCCAUCAUAGAUAUGUAUAUUUGUUACAGUUUUCCAUCAGAUGUCAGUAAACAUCUUCAGGAAGAGACAGCUUUUUAAAACUCACUCAAAAACACUAUUUGAGUUAGUAGUGGAUCACUGCCAUGAACUUUUACUAGGAUUAUUCUGCAUUUUGUGUGAAAACUGGAGUGCCACAAGGCAAGGUUAAGAAGUUUUCCAAGCAGAAGUUUGAAAUGAUCACUUCUUUUAAGCUGCAUGAGGUAGGAGAGAGAAAGACAAUGUAAAGUAGUAACAGUUUCCAAACAGAAUUCAGAGGAGACAUGGACCCAGGAUAUAUUGGGGUAGACAAUGAAACUUUUCCGCCUUUCCAGGCUCUUUAACUAGUGUAAGUUUCUCAAAGUAAGAAGUGGCCCCAGAAUAUAGAUAAAAUCAAGGGCAAGACUGUAAAACCCUUUCUUAAAACGCUUUGAAAGAUGUAAGAUGAUACUCACUCGACUCUCUUAGCUAAGCCAAAGAGAGGCUAAGAAUCACAAAGGCAUCGUCUUGACUUCCUGCUCCAAGUAGGGGGCAGCCUGUCUUAAAAGGGAUGGUGGGAAUGGAUUGUAUCUUUUGGAAUGAACUAUAACCUGAUACAUAGAAAGCCUACAACAUUUUUAAGGAAGUGCUGCUAUGAGAUUAUACUAAGAAGGGUCAAAGAUGAUGGAAAAUGAAACAGAUCUCUGAGACCUUGACUUUCUACAGGCUGGAAGUAUGCUGAAAAAACUACUCAGCUACAAACACAGCCAUUCCUUACAAAAAAAGAAAGAUAUCUAGAUGGUAGUAUCAAUUCCCAGAGAGAAAGACCAAGAGAUGAGAAGAAUGGGUUAAGGAACUCUUCUCAGGGAUUAGCACUGGGCCCUAAUCAAGGAACAUUCUCUACUGUUGUAGAAGGUGGAAUUAACAGGUACAUAUUUGGGGGUGAGAAUUGCCACGGACCAGUAGUUCCAUGAGUUUCUUGUCCUUUGUCUCUCUUUAUGAGAGUAUCUAUGGUCAGUAUCCUACUGCUAUUCAACGUUCUAUCUUGUAUGUGUGGGAGGAGAGAAGGUCAUUGUAGUUCACAGGUCCCUGUAUGAAAAGGAGCAGUACUGGAGGAGCUGCACUUGACAGACUACAACCAAGGUGCUUCAUCGAGAUCUGUACCAGAUUUAUGUGAGGAGAUCAUGGACAUUAAGCCUGAUGCUCUGAUUGGAUGAAAUUUUGGGAUAUGAAAAAGGAAAGCAGAGUCACUCCCCUCUCUUGAAUCUGGAAUGGCCCUUGCCAGUGGUGAUUUGCUUUGUUUGACAAAACGUGGCAGGAGUGAUGGUGUGUAACUUCUGAGGCCUGGCAGAAUACCAGAAAGUGAUAUUAUGCAACUUCCACCUUUAAUCUUUUGAAACUCUUCUGAGACUUCCCAGGAAGAAAGAAAACACGGAGGAAAAGGCUGAGCCAUCAGCCAGCACCAACUAUCAUACUUAGGAGUGAAGCUGUCUUGGGACUCCCAGCUCAGCCUGGACAAAAGUCAGACAAUUCACAGAAAUUUGCAAAAUAAUAUAUUGUUAUUAUUUUAAACCUCUAA
Non-coding RNA from Vicugna pacos (alpaca), 2736 nucleotides. Lineage: Eukaryota; Metazoa; Chordata; Mammalia; Artiodactyla; Camelidae. The record is from RefSeq and is a predicted model, not a curated record.